AAGUCGUAACAAGGUUUCCGUAGGUGAACCUGCGGAAGGAUCAUUAUCGUAGGGCUUCGGCCCUGUCGAGAUAGAACCCUUGCCUUUUUGAGUACCUUUUCGUUUCCUCGGCAGGCUCGCCUGCCAAUGGGGACCCCAACAAACACUUUGCAGUACCUGUAAACAGUCUGAACAAACUUUUAAAAAUUAAAACUUUCAACAACGGAUCUCUUGGUUCUG
Molecule: unclassified non-coding RNA, 219 nt
Filed under: Sporormiella africana
Lineage: Eukaryota; Fungi; Ascomycota; Dothideomycetes; Pleosporales; Sporormiaceae
Also listed under: 1 other name
Description: Preussia africana partial contains small subunit ribosomal RNA, internal transcribed spacer 1, and 5.8S ribosomal RNA
Rfam family: Eukaryotic small subunit ribosomal RNA (bases 1-46)
Source: RNAcentral